Molecule: non-coding RNA, 267 nt
Organism: Paramuricea clavata
Lineage: Eukaryota; Metazoa; Cnidaria; Anthozoa; Malacalcyonacea; Plexauridae
Source: the annotation of a GenBank genome assembly
AAACUGAUCAUGACAUCAUGCUAUUGACUAUUUUUCACACGAACACACACAAAAACAUGAAAUUAUUACCAUUAUAUGUCCUACACGCGAAAUUUGAUCCCAUUAACACUACAUGCCGUCCUUUUUACCUCGUUCCAGACUUUUUCCGCGAGCCCCACCCUAGCGAAUUGAAUUCGACACAUGCAAAAUGCGACGUUUGAAACAGGUCGCAUUUAGCUCGCACUUAGCUCGCAUUAUGCGACCGGUCGGGUCGAAUUUAAAGUUAAG